UGAGUAACCUGCCCUUAACUCUGGGAUAAGCCUGGGAAACUGGGUCUAAUACCGGAUAUGACUCCUCAUCGCAUGGUGGGGGGUGGAAAGCUUUAUUGUGGUUUUGGAUGGACUCGCGGCCUAUCAGCUUGUUGGUGAGGUAAUGGCUCACCAAGGCGACGACGGGUAGCCGGCCUGAGAGGGUGACCGGCCACACUGGGACUGAGACACGGCCCAGGCUCCUACGGGAGGCAG
Molecule: ribosomal RNA, 234 nt
Filed under: uncultured bacterium
Lineage: Bacteria
Description: partial 16S ribosomal RNA
Rfam family: Bacterial small subunit ribosomal RNA
Source: RNAcentral